This 1264-nucleotide long non-coding RNA is filed under the name Daphnia magna. RNAcentral describes it as "uncharacterized LOC123475822". The record is from RNAcentral. Lineage: Eukaryota; Metazoa; Arthropoda; Branchiopoda; Diplostraca; Daphniidae.
CGCGUUAUUGUCGUCAAGGGCUUCGGUCUUUACUUGUUCAUUGUUUUAGGCGUCUAAUUGCUUGUCCAACAUCUAAAAAGUGAUUGAUACAUUAUCCUUACAAGCGAUUGUGAAACCUGUUUCAUAUUUGGAAUAUGGAAUUACAAAAGCAUGCUUUUGCCAUAGUGGAUUUAUUUGCUACGAACGGCACGUAUGUUCAUGUUGUCCGUACAACCUGGAUUAUAACUGGAAACACACAGUGCUUGGUUCCUAAACAUCACACUUAUGAGGCACACAUCAGAAAGACUGAGAAACCAGAAUCUGAUUGGAUUUUAUACCCGUGCCAUGUUCGCAAAGGAUAUGAUUCCUAUGAGACAGCAAGGAGACACCUUGCUGAAGCAACUGUGAAUUCCGAAAUAAAUUCAACUGAUGUCGAAGUAAAUGCAAUGGGAAGAGGCCAAUCGAAAGAAAAUUGGAAACAAGAGGUACUCACCUUAUGAGGAGAAGAGACCGUCAAUAGAAAUAGAUGGAGAAGAUUCAGAAGAUAACAGUGUUGGGUUUUAUGGUCCCACGCAAAGUUUACUUCCUACCAUUCCUAUUCCUCGACAUUUGAUGGCAAGUACAAGCAACCCAAUGGAAGAAGGGAUGAUGUCCACUAACAGCAGGCAGGAUCCUACCCUGAUUAGUGAAGGAAAUUUAGAUUCUUGGGACAUGACUGAAGAACAGAGUGCCAUCUCAAACAUCACUAUUCAGCCUAAAGAUUUGACGCAAUCAACGAGCAACUCAAUUCAAGAAAGUCGUAAAAAGAUCUUGGGCCGCAUUCAUCUCAUUGAAAGUAAAGGCCUCUUGCAAUUGGGAGGGGAAACCUCGAAAGGGUAUCCAAAAGCACGGUCUACAAAAAUCGUUGCUAACUGAAGCCAUUUUCAAAGGAAUUACUAUUUCGAAGCCUUUUAAAGGCGCAAACCAAUUUGAUUUGGAGUUUGAAACCAAAAAAAUUAUGAAAAGUGCUCCAGAAUUAUUCCAACGAGUCCAGCAGAGCCUUGGGAAAGACAACAGCAUACCACGGGAUAUCAGUGAAGACAGUGGAUAACUCCCUAUUAGUUCAUUGAACGGGUAUGGAGUCGGAGUCAUGUUCCUCACUCAAUUUCGUGAUUGUUUCGUCUUGUGUUUCUCAAUUUAGUCAGCACGUGUCCGUGCACAUGGACCAAAUUAAAACUGAUAUAUGUUAAAUCUACUGUAUCGUUUUUGAAAUUUCUGCUGUGAAUACAUGAUAUUCAGCUCCCUA